Molecule: ribosomal RNA, 399 nt
Filed under: uncultured microorganism
Description: bacterial SSU rRNA
Rfam family: Archaeal small subunit ribosomal RNA
Source: RNAcentral
GUGCACCAGUCGCGAAAACUUUACAAUGUGCGAAAGCACGAUAAGGGAACUCUGAGUGCCUCCUAAGGAGGCUGUUCAGGUGUCUAAAAGCACCUGAAGGAAGGGCUGGGUAAGACCGGUGCCAGCCGCCGCGGUAACACCGGCAGCCCAAGUGGUAGCCACGUUUAUUGGGUCUAAAGCGUCCGUAGCCGGCUGGGUAAGUUCCUUGGGAAAUUUGGCUGCUUAACAGUCAAGCUUUCAGGGAAUACUGCCCGGCCUGGGACCGGGAGAGGUCAGAGGUACUCCAGGGGUAGGGGUGAAAUCCAUUAAUCCUUGGGGGGCCACCGGUAGCGAAGGCGUCUGACCAGACCGGGUCCGACGGUGAGGGACGAAGGCUAGGGGCGCGAACCGGAUUAGAUA